This 502-nucleotide ribosomal RNA is filed under the name uncultured bacterium. RNAcentral describes it as "partial 16S ribosomal RNA". It matches the Rfam family "Bacterial small subunit ribosomal RNA", at positions 28 to 507 of the family's 1533-position model. The record is from RNAcentral.
GAUUAACGCUGGCGGCGUGCCUAACACAUGCAAGUCGAGCGGCAGCGAGUUUUACACUGAAUUCUGGAAGCUUCUAGUUGCAAGAGAAGAUUUAUUCAAGAAUUUUGUGUAAAAUGUCGGCGAGCGGCGGACGGCUGAGUAACGCGUGGGAACGUACCCCAAAGUGAGGGAUAACGCAUCGAAAGGUGUGCUAAUACCGCAUAUGGUCUUCGGAUUAAAGCCUUCGGGCGCUUUGGGAACGGCCUGCGUAAGAUUAGAUAGUUGGUGGGGUAAUGGCCUACCAAGUCGACGAUCUUUAACUGGUUUGAGAGGAUGAUCAGUCAGACUGGAACUGAGACACGGUCCAGACUCCUACGGGAGGCAGCAGUGAGGAAUCUUCCACAAUGGGCGAAAGCCUGAUGGAGCAACGCCGUGUGCAGGAUGAAGGCCUUCGGGUUGUAAACUGCUUUUAUAAGUGAGGAUUAUGACAGUAACUGAUGAAUAAGGAUCGGCUAACUACGUG